This 240-nucleotide unclassified non-coding RNA is filed under the name soil metagenome. Its description in RNAcentral is "partial contains 5.8S ribosomal RNA, internal transcribed spacer 2, and large subunit ribosomal RNA". The record is from RNAcentral.
AACGCACGAGACCUGCGGACCUGCGGAAGGAUCAUUACUGAGUGAGGGCCCUCUGGGUCCAACCUCCCACCCGUGUUUAUUGUACCUUGUUGCUUCGGCAGGCCCGCCUCACGGCCGCCGGGGGGCUUUCCGCCCCCGGGCCCGCGCCUGCCGGAGACAAUCUUGAACGCUGUCUGAAGAAUGCAGUCUGAGCGAUUAAGCAAAAUUAGUUAAAACUUUUAGCAACGGAUCUCUAGAUCG